This 497-nucleotide ribosomal RNA is filed under the name uncultured bacterium. Its description in RNAcentral is "partial 16S ribosomal RNA". It matches the Rfam family "Bacterial small subunit ribosomal RNA", at positions 28 to 507 of the family's 1533-position model. The record is from RNAcentral.
GAUGAACGCUGGCGGCGUGCCUAAUACAUGCAAGUCGAGCGAACAGACGAGGAGCUUGCUCCUCUGACGUUAGCGGCGGACGGGUGAGUAACACGUGGAUAACCUACCUAUAAGACUGGGAUAACUUCGGGAAACCGGAUCUAAUACCGGAUAAUAUAUUGAACCGCAUGGUUCAAUAGUGAAAGACGGCUUUGCUGUCACUUAUAGAUGGAUCCGCGCCGCAUUAGCUAGUUGGUCAGGUAACUGCUUACCAAGGCAACGAUGCGUAGCCGACCUGAGAGGGUGAUCGCCCACCCUGGAACUGAGCCACGGUCCAGACGCCUAAGGGAGGCAGCAGUAGGGAAUCUUCGGCAAUGGGCGAAAGCUUGACGGAGCAACGCCGAGUGAGUGAUGAAGGUCUUCGGAUCGUAAAACUCUGUUAUUAGGGAAGAACAAAUGUGUAAGUAAAUAUGCACGUAUUGACGGUACCUAAUCAGAAAGCAACGGCUAACUACGUG